UACGGGGGGGGUAAGCGUUGUUCGGAAUUACUGGGCGUAAAGCGCACGUAGGCGGCUUUUUAAGUCAGAGGUGAAAGCCCGGGGCUCAACUCCGGAAUUGCCUUUGAGACUGGGAGGCUUGAUCGUCGGAGAGGUGAGUGGAAUUCCGAGUGUAGAGGUGAAAUUCGUAGAUAUUCGGAAGAACACCAGUGGCGAAGGCGGCUCACUGGACGACUGAUGACGCUGAGGUGCGAAAGCGUGGGGAGCAAACAGG
Molecule: ribosomal RNA, 253 nt
Filed under: uncultured bacterium
Lineage: Bacteria
Description: partial 16S ribosomal RNA
Rfam family: Bacterial small subunit ribosomal RNA
Source: RNAcentral